AGAUUAAAGUGGUGUUUCAUUUGUUGCUUCAUGUUGGUGUGGGGAGGGAUGGUGCUAACAGAGCCAGCAGAGGAAAUUCAGACGGAUGCUUCCAUGUGUCUUGGGGCCUGUCUCUGUGACUCCAACACAU
This 130-nucleotide small nucleolar RNA is filed under the name Sorex araneus (European shrew). RNAcentral describes it as "Small nucleolar RNA SNORA55 (ENSSARG00000018927.1)". The record is from RNAcentral. Lineage: Eukaryota; Metazoa; Chordata; Mammalia; Eulipotyphla; Soricidae.